This 466-nucleotide ribosomal RNA is filed under the name uncultured bacterium. Its description in RNAcentral is "bacterial SSU rRNA". It matches the Rfam family "Bacterial small subunit ribosomal RNA", at positions 917 to 1382 of the family's 1533-position model. The record is from RNAcentral.
GGGCCCGCACAAGCGGCGGAGCAUGUGGAUUAAUUCGAUGCAACGCGAAGAACCUUACCUGGGUUUGACAUGCACAGGACGUGCCUAGAGAUAGGUAUUCCCUUGUGGCCUGUGUGCAGGUGGUGCAUGGCUGUCGUCAGCUCGUGUCGUGAGAUGUUGGGUUAAGUCCCGCAACGAGCGCAACCCUUGUCUCAUGUUGCCAGCGGGUUAUGCCGGGGACUCGUGAGAGACUGCCGGGGUCAACUCGGAGGAAGGUGGGGAUGACGUCAAGUCAUCAUGCCCCUUAUGUCCAGGGCUUCACACAUGCUACAAUGGCCGGUACAAAGGGCUGCGAUGCCGUGAGGUGGAGCGAAUCCUUUCAAAGCCGGUCUCAGUUCGGAUCGGGGUCUGCAACUCGACCCCGUGAAGUCGGAGUCGCUAGUAAUCGCAGAUCAGCAACGCUGCGGUGAAUACGUUCCCGGGCCUU